This is a non-coding RNA of Oryctolagus cuniculus (rabbit), 800 nucleotides long. Lineage: Eukaryota; Metazoa; Chordata; Mammalia; Lagomorpha; Leporidae. The record is from RefSeq and is a predicted model, not a curated record.
UGGGGAACCCUUGAGAGCCACACUCAACCCAUAUCCAAGGCUUUACACCAUUAUUAUUGUAAUCACUACUAAAUAUCUAUUAUGUGCUCAGUAGUCAGCGUGCAGGACCUUAACAGGAGAAAGCAAAAAUCUCUGAGUCUGGCUGCCUAUGUCACAAUGGAGAUUCUUGGGAUAAACAUCAUAAAGGCUGCUGGUCAUUUGGGGAUGGGUGGGACUUGGGAGCAAGAGUAUAAAUCCAGGGAGCAAGGCCUGCUGAAACGAUUCAGCCAUGCUCCAUCAGUCAAGAGGAGCUUCAUCCAGAGAGAGUUCUUCUGAUCACUGGGUCAGAAGCACCCGAGUUCCUGUCUUCAGUUGAGAUUCAGCCAUGCCAGCACUAGAAGUCUAAGAAUAUCAUAAUCCCUGAGUGAUAUAAAGACCUUUGCAAGGAAGAUGAGAUACCCAGAGGCUGUAAAGGAGAGGUCUGAAGGAUUUGACCAUGUUCAAAUGAAAAGCUUCAGUUCAGCAAAACACCAGAAACAAAUUCAAAAGAUAAAAUACACACCGGAGAAGCCCAUUCUCUCGCCACAUCUGACAGUUCACAAAGAGCAACUACAGUCUGACUUAAAAAAUGAACAAAGUGGUUGGAAAAUGGGCAACCAAGAGGCAACUACAAUAACAAGAAAUAGAAAUGCCCAUUAACCAACAAGGUGAUGUCCAUGUUAACUCUUAAAAGAGUGAGGAUAGAGGCAUAGUAAAAAUGAAAAUUUGUUGAAGAUUACAAUGGACUUUUUGGGCCAUAAAUAAAAACCCUGUUGGCAAGA